GCUAUGCUCUCCAUCUAUAAAAAGGGAUCCCCAAAUACGUUCAUCUCUAAGCUCAAAACUCUAUCUUGAAACUCUGCUAAAAUCUCAUUUGAGUGCUCCAUUUUUGUUGAGACAGAGUACUAACUUGAGCGUCGGAGGGUCUUGCCGGAGGAUCCCCAACUCCGGUUUAGACUUUCCUUGCAGGUCCCAGCGAUGGAUGCAAUCCCCUCAGCUCC
This 215-nucleotide long non-coding RNA is filed under the name Elaeis guineensis (African oil palm). RNAcentral describes it as "long non-coding RNA (EGUI_LNC077127)". The record is from RNAcentral. Lineage: Eukaryota; Viridiplantae; Streptophyta; Magnoliopsida; Arecales; Arecaceae.